Molecule: unclassified non-coding RNA, 178 nt
Filed under: uncultured fungus
Lineage: Eukaryota; Fungi
Description: sequence contains ITS1, 5.8S rRNA gene, ITS2 and 28S rRNA gene
Source: RNAcentral
GGAAGGAUCAUUAUUGAAUGAACUUGGUGUGGUUGUUGCUGGCCCUCUCGGGGGCAUGUGCACACCCGCCAUCCUCAUCUCUCCACCUGUGCACCUUUUGUAGACCUGGAUAGACUUUCCGAGGCAACUCGGUCGGGAAGAUUGCUGCGCUCUGUGUGCCAGCUUUCUUUGCAUGUCC